GUCGGUAGCUCAGAUGGAAGAGCAUCUGACUUUUAAUCAGGGGGUCGCGGGUCCGAGUCCCGCCCGACC
Molecule: transfer RNA, 69 nt
Filed under: bovine gut metagenome
Rfam family: tRNA
About the family: Transfer RNA (tRNA) molecules are approximately 80 nucleotides in length. Their secondary structure includes four short double-helical elements and three loops (D, anti-codon, and T loops). Further hydrogen bonds mediate the characteristic L-shaped molecular structure. tRNAs have two regions of fundamental functional importance: the anti-codon, which is responsible for specific mRNA codon recognition, and the 3' end, to which the tRNAs corresponding amino acid is attached (by aminoacyl-tRNA synthetases). tRNAs cope with the degeneracy of the genetic code in two manners: having more than one tRNA (with a specific anti-codon) for a particular amino acid; and 'wobble' base-pairing, i.e. permitting non-standard base-pairing at the 3rd anti-codon position.
Source: RNAcentral